This 253-nucleotide ribosomal RNA is filed under the name uncultured bacterium. RNAcentral describes it as "partial 16S ribosomal RNA". It matches the Rfam family "Bacterial small subunit ribosomal RNA", at positions 524 to 776 of the family's 1533-position model. The record is from RNAcentral.
UACGUAGGUGGCAAGCGUUGUCCGGAAUCACUGGGCGUAAAGCGCGCGCAGGCGGCGAUCUACGUCUGGGGUGAAGGCCCGGAGCUCAACUCCGGGACUGCCUUGGAUACGGGAUCGCUUGAGAAUUGGAGAGGCAAGGGGAAUUCCACGUGUAGCGGUGAAAUGCGUAGAUAUGUGGAGGAACACCUGUGGCGAAGGCGCCUUGCUGGCCAAUUUCUGACGCUGAGGCGCGAAAGCGUGGGGAGCAAACAGG